Molecule: ribosomal RNA, 253 nt
Filed under: uncultured bacterium
Lineage: Bacteria
Description: partial 16S ribosomal RNA
Rfam family: Bacterial small subunit ribosomal RNA
Source: RNAcentral
UACGGGGGGGGCAAGCGUUGUUCGGAAUUACUGGGCGUAAAGGGCUCGUAGGCGGCCAACUAAGUCAGACGUGAAAUCCCUCGGCUUAACCGGGGAACUGCGUCUGAUACUGGAUGGCUCGAGUUUGGGAGAGGGAUGCGGAAUUCCAGGUGUAGCGGUGAAAUGCGUAGAUAUCUGGAGGAACACCGGUGGCGAAGGUGGCAUCCUGGACCAACACUGACGCUGAUGAGCGAAAGCCAGGGGAGCAAACGGG